Molecule: ribosomal RNA, 301 nt
Filed under: uncultured bacterium
Lineage: Bacteria
Description: partial 16S ribosomal RNA
Rfam family: Bacterial small subunit ribosomal RNA
Source: RNAcentral
CAGUAGCCGCGGGAAUACGAAGGGUGCAAGCGUUAAUCGGAAUUACUGGGCGUAAAGCGUGCGUAGGCGGUUUGUUAAGUCUGUUGUGAAAUCCCCGGGCUUAACCUGGGAACUGCAUUUGUGACUGGCGGGCUAGAGUAUGGCAGAGGGGGGUAGAAUUCCACGUGUAGCAGUGAAAUGCGUAGAGAUGUGGAGGAAUACCGAUGGCGAAGGCAGCCCCCUGGGCCAAUACUGACGCUCAUGCACGAAAGCGUGGGGAGCAAACAGGAUUAGAUACCCCCGUAGUCCCUGUCUCUUAUAC